GACCUGUUAGCUCAGCCGGUAGAGCACUUGACUUUUAAUCAAGGGGCCGCGGGUCCGAAUCCCGCACGGGUCACCA
RNAcentral lists this transfer RNA (76 nucleotides) under Mesoaciditoga lauensis. RNAcentral's name for it is "tRNA-Lys". It matches the Rfam family "tRNA". From Rfam's summary of the family: Transfer RNA (tRNA) molecules are approximately 80 nucleotides in length. Their secondary structure includes four short double-helical elements and three loops (D, anti-codon, and T loops). The record is from RNAcentral. RNAcentral also lists the same sequence under 2 other names. Lineage: Bacteria; Thermotogati; Thermotogota; Thermotogae; Mesoaciditogales; Mesoaciditogaceae.